CACAAACACUCUGAUCAAUGAACUGUGAUGUCACUGUGUUGCAUUCUGAUUGGCUGAGGCUGGCAGAACCAAUCAGAUGCAAGCUGGCACCAAUCAACCCAAACCUUGUCCCUGAUUGGUCAGAAUGAGACACUACGGAAGACACCAGCAGAAAGCAAGCUUACCUGAGAUGAGCUGAGGUCAGAGGUCACUGAAGAAAGCUGGAAGUGAAAGCAGAUGUCAGGCGCAGCAGGGGCUCAUUUGGUUCUGAUUGGUUCUUCUGGACUGUAGUUGAGUCAUUGCUGUUUGGACCGUUAUUCCCUCUGGUCCUGGAUGCUUACUUUCACACUGUUGUUAUGAUGCGUAACCAUAGCAACAAGACAGAUUUAAAGAGGAGCAGCAAAAGCAAAGGAGGUGGAUCAGCAGAGCAACAAGAAUAUGGUUUCUGCUGUCAGAGCCUUUUUCUGAUUCGCUGCAUCACUGACUCUACAGGAGAUCCUUCCUGCCCACAGUAUCACCAUCCACACCGACUCUUAAAGAUGACACGAGAUCAUUCACCUUUGGGGGUCUCCUGGUCGCUGCUGGAGGCGCUCAGCAGGGUGGACCGUCUCUUCAACAACACCAGGGUUUGGAAAAGUGGAAACGUUAUUUCCAGAAAAAGUUCUUUACUGCAGUUAAAUCAGCGCCGAACUGUUCCGGAACAACUUUUAUACCGACCCAGACUGAACCGGAGUUCUGCCCCAGGUUUAAUCCAGUGAACAUGAGAAUAAACUGAAAUCUUGAUGCUUUUUAACCGAGUUCCGCGCAGUGGU
Long non-coding RNA from Gambusia affinis (western mosquitofish), 791 nucleotides. RefSeq lists it as uncharacterized. The record is from RefSeq and is a predicted model, not a curated record. Lineage: Eukaryota; Metazoa; Chordata; Actinopteri; Cyprinodontiformes; Poeciliidae. The transcript has 4 exons.